RNAcentral lists this ribosomal RNA (346 nucleotides) under uncultured eukaryote. RNAcentral describes it as "SSU rRNA". It matches the Rfam family "Eukaryotic small subunit ribosomal RNA", at positions 594 to 945 of the family's 1831-position model. The record is from RNAcentral.
AUAGCGUAUAUUAAAGUUGUUGCAGUUAAAAAGCUCGUAGUUGGAUCUCGGGGCCAGGCUCGCGGUUCGUUUUGCGACGAUACUGCCCGUCCUGACCUACCUCCCGGUUUUCCCCCGGUGCUCUUCGCUGAGUGCCUCGGGUGGCCGGAACGUUUACUUUGAAAAAAUUAGAGUGCUCAAAGCAGGCAGUUUGCCUGAAUAACCGCGCAUGGAAUAAUGGAAUAGGACCUCGGUUCUAUUUUGUUGGUUUUCGGAGCUCGAGGUAAUGAUUAAGAGGGACAGACGGGGGCAUUAGUAUUGCGACGUUAGAGGUGAAAUUCUUGGAUCGUCGCAAGACUAACUACUG